UACAGAGACCUCAAGCGUUAUCCGGAAUCAUUGGGCGUAAAGCGUACCGAUAGGUUGUUUAUUAAGUCUUGGGUAAAAAGCCGGAAGCUCAACUUCCGCGUUUGCUUAAGAUACUAAUAGACUAGAGGGGCAAAGAGGUGCUUGGAACGAACGGUGUAGUAGUGAAAUGCGUUGAUAUCGUUCGGAACACCGAAAGCGAAGGCAGAGCACUGGGUGCCACCUGACACUGCUAGGACGAAAGCGUGGGGAGCGAAUGGG
Molecule: ribosomal RNA, 258 nt
Filed under: uncultured bacterium
Lineage: Bacteria
Description: partial 16S ribosomal RNA
Rfam family: Bacterial small subunit ribosomal RNA
Source: RNAcentral